UACGAAGGGGGCUAGCGUUGCUCGGAAUCACUGGGCGUAAAGCGCACGUAGGCGGAUCUUUAAGUCAGGGGUGAAAUCCCGGGGCUCAACCUCGGAACUGCCUUUGAUACUGCAAGUCUUGAGUCCGGAAGAGGUGAGUGGAAUUCCUAGUGUAGAGGUGAAAUUCGUAGAUAUUAGGAAGAACACCAGUGGCGAAGGCGGCUCACUGGUCCGGUACUGACGCUGAGGUGCGAAAGCGUGGGGAGCAACAGG
Molecule: ribosomal RNA, 252 nt
Filed under: uncultured bacterium
Lineage: Bacteria
Description: partial 16S ribosomal RNA
Rfam family: Bacterial small subunit ribosomal RNA
Source: RNAcentral